Molecule: unclassified non-coding RNA, 299 nt
Filed under: Mesomycoplasma hyopneumoniae 232
Lineage: Bacteria; Bacillati; Mycoplasmatota; Mycoplasmoidales; Metamycoplasmataceae
Description: Mycoplasma hyopneumoniae 232 ribonuclease P
Rfam family: Bacterial RNase P class B (bases 19-279)
About the family: Ribonuclease P (RNase P) is a ubiquitous endoribonuclease, found in archaea, bacteria and eukarya as well as chloroplasts and mitochondria. Its best characterised activity is the generation of mature 5'-ends of tRNAs by cleaving the 5'-leader elements of precursor-tRNAs. Cellular RNase Ps are ribonucleoproteins.
Source: RNAcentral
UAUAAUUGUUAUAUUUAACAAAUUUAUAUUUGAGGAAAGUCCGCGCUAGCACUACCUGAGAUGGUAGUAGUGUUCAUGUUGGAUCUAAUAAAUCCAAGCUUUAGACGACCAGUGCCACAGAGACGAGUUUAUUUAUUAAUUUGUUUAUAUUAAAAAAUAGUUUAGAAUUUUUAAAUUAAUAAAUAAGGUGAAACGCGGUAAACUCCAUGAGCUAGAAACCUAAAUUUUGGUAAGGGAGCCCAAUUUCGGGAAACAAACUUUAAUUGGGAAGUUCUAUUAUAAUAUUUUUAUAAAGAACU